Molecule: ribosomal RNA, 368 nt
Filed under: uncultured organism
Description: bacterial SSU rRNA
Rfam family: Bacterial small subunit ribosomal RNA
Source: RNAcentral
CGGAGGGUGCAAGCGUUAUCCGGAUUCACUGGGUUUAAAGGGUGUGUAGGCGGGUAUUUAAGUCAGUGGUGAAAUCUCCAGGCUCAACCUGGAAACUGCCAUUGAUACUAUUUAUCUUGAAUAUCGUUGAGGUUGGCGGAAUAUAUCAUGUAGCGGUGAAAUGCAUAGAUAUGAUAUAGAACACCGAUUGCGAAGGCAGCUAACUAAGCGAUUAUUGACGCUGAGGCACGAAAGCGUGGGGAUCAAACAGGAUUAGAUACCCUGGUAGUCCACGCCCUAAACUAUGAUUACUCGACAUACGCGAUACACAGUGUGUGUCUGAGCGAAAGCAUUAAGUAAUCCACCUGGGAAGUACGUCCGCAAGGAUG